UACGUAGGGGGCAAGCGUUGUCCGGAUUCAUUGGGCGUAAAGAGCUCGUAGGCGGUUCAGUAAGUCGGGUGUGAAAGCUCCGAGCUCAACUCGGAGAGGCCACCCGAUACUGCUGUGACUUGAGUCCAGUAGAGGAGCGUGGAACUCCUGGUGUAGCGGUGGAAUGCGCAGAUAUCAGGAAGAACACCUGCAGCGAAGGCAGCUCGCUGGGACGUUACUGACACUGAGGCGCGAAAGCGUGGGGAGCGAACAGG
RNAcentral lists this ribosomal RNA (254 nucleotides) under uncultured bacterium. RNAcentral's name for it is "partial 16S ribosomal RNA". It matches the Rfam family "Bacterial small subunit ribosomal RNA", at positions 524 to 776 of the family's 1533-position model. The record is from RNAcentral.